CCCCGGGCUUGCGCCCGAGGCUACACUCUCACGCCGCUCCGCGGCU
This is a non-coding RNA of Acidobacteria bacterium 13_1_20CM_2_57_8, 46 nucleotides long. The record is from Rfam. NCBI's taxonomy places the organism in Bacteria, Pseudomonadati, Acidobacteriota.